CCUACGGGUGGCAGCAGUGAGGAAUAUUGGUCAAUGGUCGGGAGACUGAACCAGCCAAGCCGCGUGAGGGAUGAAGGUACAGAGUAUCGUAAACCUCUUUUGUCAGGGAACAAAGGCUGGGACGUGUCCCCGGAUGAGUGUACCUGAAGAAAAAGCAACGGCUAACUCCGUGCCAGCAGCCGCGGUAAUACGGAGGAUGCGAGCGUUAUCCGGAUUUAUUGGGUUUAAAGGGGGCGCAGGGGGGCUGUUAAGGCAGGUGUGAAAGGCCGGGGGUCAACCCCGGCCCCGCCGUUGAAACUGGCAGUCGCGAGUUGGAGAGAGGUAUGCGGAAUGCGCGGUGUAGCGGUGAAAUGCAUAGAUAUCGCGAAGAACUCCGAUUGCGAAGGCAGCAUGCCGGCUCCACACUGACGCUGAGGCACGAAAGCGUGGGUAUCGAACAGGAUUAGAUACCCUUGUAGUC
RNAcentral lists this ribosomal RNA (460 nucleotides) under uncultured bacterium. RNAcentral's name for it is "partial 16S ribosomal RNA". It matches the Rfam family "Bacterial small subunit ribosomal RNA", at positions 338 to 795 of the family's 1533-position model. The record is from RNAcentral.